AUAUCCUGUGAGUGAUGGGGAUUUUAUCACUCCCUCCGGGUGGUGGGAGAUCACCCUAAUUUAUAGGUAUGGAAUAUUAGUAAAUAUAUAUAUAUAUAUGUACAUUGACAUUGUGUAUGUACAUACCCCGUGAGUGAUGGGGAUUUUAUCACUCCCUCCGGGUGGUGGGAGAUCACCCUAAUUUAUAGGUAUAGAAUAUUAGUGAAUAUAUAUAUGUACAUUAACAUUGUGUAUGUACAUACCCCGUGAGUGAUGGGGCUUUUAUCACUCCCUCCGGGUGGUGGGAGAUCAUCCUAAUUUAUUGGUAUGGAAUAUUAGUGAAUAUAUAUAUAUAUAUAUGUACAUUAACAUUGUGUAUGUACAUACCCCGUGAGUGAUGGGAAUUUUAUCACUCCCUCUGGGUGGUGGGAGAUCACCCUAAUUUAUAUGUUUAUUUUUCCUUUAUGUUUAGACUGUCUAAUGGAUGUUUAACAACUUUUAUAAAUUUUACGUUAAACUUGUACCUUACAGUUUUUGUAGUUUCCUUUAUUAGUUUUUUUAAUAGGAAUAAUUUUUUUAUAUUUAUUUUUAAUUAGUGUGACGGAUAGGAGUUGGAUGCAAUUAGAUGACAGACUUUGUGACCAAUAUUUGUAUUUUAUUGUAUAGGAUCAUCAUUAUCUAAUGCAAGAAAAAGAGGUCGAGAGAAAACAAAGAAUAAAAUACUAACAUCUUUGGCUCCUGGUCAAAAAUUGCCAUUGGAAUUCAAUAAUUAUGGUCAAGCCAUUAGAUCAAAUGCUAAUGUGUUUGCAAGUCAUAUUGGCAAGAUUGUUAAAGUAUGUGAAGAUGCACCAAUUUCUUGCAAGCAUUGGGAAGAUGUUCCACAAGACAAUAAGAAUAAAAUGUAUUCAUAUGUACUGGAGAAAUUUGAAUUUGAAGAAAACGAAGUAAGAAAAAAUUAGAUCUUUAGAAAGAUGGGAAGGGCUUUUGCAAAUUAUAGAUAUAGGUUGAAGGCUGACUAUGUAUAUAACAAUGAUGAUGAUCGAAUUAAGUUUGCUCCAACAACAGUCAACCAAGGACAAUGGAGACAAUUUGUCACUUGGUUGAGCUCACAUGAGUUUAAGGUUUCUUGUGCUCGUAAUAAGUUUAAUCGGUCAAAGCAAACAAUGACUAAAACUACAGGCACUAGAAGUUUUGCUUGAGUUAGAGCUGAACAGGCUGAAAUAUUAGGACACGAACCGUCUACAUGGGAAAUGUUCAAGGUGACACACGAGAAAAAAGACGGGUCAAUGGUUGAUUUUACGUCAAAAGAAAAAGUGAGCAAAGUUGGUCCGGCGGAAUGGUUGAAACCUUAUACUGAUGAGAUAAUCGUUGAGCUAGGGAAGAGAGGAGUAAAAAGUCUCCUGGCUGUCCCAAUUAGUGCAGGGACGUAUGCCAAUAGCUUUUGUGCUGUCUCUGCCACAGGAAAAGGUGAAGCAACAGUACGAGCUACAGUUGCACGCGACGUGGCUGCUUUGACGUUUCUUUUUUUUUUUUUGGUUAGAUCUAGAUCUAGUGUUACUAGGAAGAGAAGAGGAAGCAGAACUAGGGGGAGGGGGGGCGCUAUCUGACGGACACUUAGGGAUAGAGCUGAAUGCAUAAUAUGGGACUCUAGAGUCUGGUCUAGUGACUUUGUUUAUGCCUUUUGGGGUUCCUCUUCCAGCAAGAGAAGGAAAAAUCUGGACCAUCGAGAACUAGUACCCAUAGAAUAGAAACACAUUCUAAGUGGGCAAAUGGUGCUCUACUUGUGAGUGCAGUUGAUGUGGACAAGUCGCUAGAUUGUAAUCUGAUUUUACUAAUAUAUCACUAAAAUUGCAAUUUGA
Molecule: long non-coding RNA, 1838 nt
Organism: Diospyros lotus (date-plum)
Lineage: Eukaryota; Viridiplantae; Streptophyta; Magnoliopsida; Ericales; Ebenaceae
Exons: 6
Source: RefSeq, a predicted model, not a curated record